Molecule: long non-coding RNA, 348 nt
Organism: Stegostoma tigrinum
Lineage: Eukaryota; Metazoa; Chordata; Chondrichthyes; Orectolobiformes; Stegostomatidae
Exons: 3
Source: RefSeq, a predicted model, not a curated record
CUACAACCUGAGAUUGGCUAGGAAACCUGGAAAUUGGCACUAAUGCACUAUAAAGCCUGCUUCGGUAGCACUGUCUCACCUAAGUCCCUCAACCUUGGCUGCAAUCAGGUAUUCAGUGGACAGCAUAAAACUAUUAAGGAGAUCUUUAACAGCCUGGGAUCAGAAAAGGAUGAAAAAUAUUGUGCUUCCUUCUUACCAUUUUGGAGAGAAAACUGGCAUACCAAAGAUACGCUGCACAUUCAAGUCUACUAAUCUACUCAUGGACAGUGCUGAAAGAACAGUUCACCUGGAAUGGGGCAGGAGGAAAAAGUAUGAAAUGUGUCUAUAAAAAUGCUGCACUUGACUGAA